This 2612-nucleotide long non-coding RNA is filed under the name Anas platyrhynchos platyrhynchos (common mallard). RNAcentral's name for it is "lncRNA (ENSAPLG00000020879.1)". Lineage: Eukaryota; Metazoa; Chordata; Aves; Anseriformes; Anatidae. The record is from RNAcentral.
AUGGAAAGAAAUGUCCAGGGAUGGAUUCUUUUUCAGCCUACUGUAGUUCUCAUGGAUCCAGGCUUGGGUCUUCCACUGUCAGCUGAACCUCUGAAUCCCACCUACUUCCAUCCUAUUUGGUGUGGUACCCUAUACCUUCUAUGUUCUGCAGGUCAUCUUCCAGCAGCUUCCCUUCUGCGUGGUACCACAGGACAAGGACAGAGCUUUGCCUUGGAUGACGUGAGGAGUGAACACUUCUCAUCUGAAGACAGCAAAAUCAUUCCUCCUCUUCUUGCUGCCUCCCAAAGACUUAAUGCCGGUUGCUCAGAAAGACAGUGUGGUUCAGGUCCUCCUCGAGCAGAGACUAAUGGGCAGCACAAUGUUCAUAGCCUCUCCUGUCGACAGAUAGUGGAGAGUUUGGUGGAGCAUGGUUUUGCUGUCAAAGGUGAACGCUGCUAUCUGCCAACUUUAUAAAUUCACUUACACGCUGUCGUACACACCCGCUCACUGCAUCUGCAGUGAGGCUAGACUCAUGGUUGCUGCUUGCUGACAAGGUUGUUGUAGAUGAAAAGGAGAGGAGAAGUACAAUAGACAUAUUUGGUCUAGUUAAAAAAAGAUCUAAUAAUGCGGAUCUAUGAAUACCAUUUUUUUUUUUUGAAAGCUGCCUUGCAGCAAGUUACUAACAUUUGAUUUUAUGACUGUUGGUCUAGUGUGAAUAGCAGUUAGUGUGAUUAACUGGGGAGCUGCCUUUAAAAGCCAGCCCAGGGAAUUGGGGCAGUCUCCUUUCCUGCUUCAUGCUCUCAUUCCUGGGGAGAGGUGAUAACUAGAUGUCAGAGAUGAAGGCAGGCUAAUGAGGAGUGUAUUUGAAGAGACCGUAGGGACGUCAGAGAUAUAGUUAUCUCUGGUAGCUGUCGAAGGGAAAUUUUAAAAUACCAUUUUUUCCUAAAAACAUUCUCAGCAACAGAUAUCGCCUACUUUCAGAGUGUCAGUUUGUCCCUGCAGCCUUGAGAAUUUCUGCCCUUUUUAGUGAGCGCUUCAGAUAGCUUAAUAGAAAAUGUGCCCACUGGGGAGGGUAAUGUCACCUGUCACAGGGGGAAACACAGUGCUUCUGGAUGGCAGUUACAUUUCUAGUCCCAGUAAGCCAUAAACUUGAUCUCUUGCUUGGGCUUGUGUGUCUGCACGCAUUAAAAAUUAAUAAGUAAAACCUGCAAAUGGCAUAAAAUGCAGCAGUCCGGUUGUGUCAUGGGUCACUGUGAAGCCACGCUUCCUUCUGCACGGGGUCUUCUCUUUCAGCACAGCUCAAGAUCUCUGUCCUGUUCAGAGCCCUUCUGGGAGGACACCUGUAAUUGCUGUGGGAUCGUUUUUUCUUGUCACCAACUAUCCUCAGCCACCUUAUCUGACAGCAGGGAAAUGCUCAAUGACAAGUGGAGCCGGCCGUCAGGUCGCAGUGAAUUGAACCUGGAGUGACUGAACUUCUGCCAGAGCUGGAAGUGAUUGUGGGCUGCUGGACUUCAUGCACAUACCCACUGAAGAGUUAGUUUACCCAGAGCAGAUUUGAUAAGUUCAUGAUAAAAUUCCUUGAUAAAUUGUUGAUAAACUCCAAUUAAAAAACUAUCUCUUAGCGAAAUCAAACUAUUUUCCCUGCACGAUAUUGAAGAAAGAAAGCAAGAGAGUAAUUGUUUUGUAAAACCUUAGUAACAGGUCAGAUGAUGUGCUCUUCUGGGGGCAUUUCUGAGGCCAACUAGAGCAAUGAAGCAUUCCAUCCUGGGACUUUAUUGCUUCAAUUUUAAGUGCAUUGUCUCAUAACUGGAAUUAACCGUGUAGUCCUAUCCUAUGGAAAAAUGGGGACUUGAACUGUGAGGAUUGCUCUACAGGCAGUUUAAUUGUUUAAAUGGAUUGGUUUCAUGUUUAUUUUGCUUUUAUGUUACUACCAAUGCCACAGUUCCUUUCUUGAUAUUAGCCAGUUGAUAAAGACAUAAAAAAAUGAUUAAAAAAAGAAAAGAAAAAAGAAAGAAAGCACAGAUCUUACUCGUUACUAUGUAGUUAAUAUGAGUAUUUCUGUUCAUGUAUAAUCUUGCUGAAUUUAGGCUGUCAUGUUGAAGGUGAUAUUUAGCAAAAUCCUGUAGCUAGAACUUGAUAAAAGCAGCUGUUAUAUUUAAAAUUAGCACAUAAAAUGUCAUUAAAGUAAUGAUACAGGUUCACAGAGUUGCAUUCUGAGUGCUAAUCAUACUGUCUUGUAGAUGAGUCAACUGCUGUGCCUUACUCCAUGUGUACUUCACGGGUUUGGACGAUUGGCUUAAAUUAAUUGUUUAGCAGACUGGAGGUGGUAGAAAUAGGAGUGCAGAAAUGGGUAAUGUAUCACAUCUGCCAAAAAGCUGACUGCUGAACCCAUCAGCUAAAUUAAAAUUUCUUUCUCUGUCCUUGAUCUUUGUCAGGUAUAAAGCAUUUCACUCAGUGGGAUGUCCUGAGGAUUUUCGGUGUACUGAUUUGAAUUGGUAGAGGAAGAAAAAAUUACGAUGGACUAGGGAUAUUAAAAGUCAUAUGGGAAGCCAGGAGACUACCAGGGUGGGGUGGUUUUUUUGGCAAACUAAAAUAGCAAUAAAAAGAAAUGAUGAUUGACUAAAUUUGUCUAG